Podarcis lilfordi (Lilford's wall lizard) is the source of this 80-nucleotide non-coding RNA. The record is from the annotation of a GenBank genome assembly. NCBI's taxonomy places the organism in Eukaryota, Metazoa, Chordata, Lepidosauria, Squamata, Lacertidae.
UGUGUGUGUGUGUGUGUAUGUAUAUGUAUGUGUGUGUGUGUGUGUAUGUAUAUAUAUAUAUAUAUACACACACACACAUU